CUGAGCCGCUCCUGGAAACCAGGCGUGGGGCUGAGCGCUGGGGUGACCGUGGGAAGACCCUGUGGACCUAGGGGAACCCGAGGCUUCAGGCGGUGCCGGCUGUGGGGACUGUGGAUGGUGGCUGGGGAAGAGACCAGAGGAAGGGGACUGGCAUCAAGUAGUCCAUCAAUAUGAUUGACUACUUUGACAGACUUUCUUGAGCAUAAAACCAACCUUGCAUUCCUGGAAUAAAUCCAGCUCACCCUUAUUUUACUGCUCCAAUCUUUUUAAAAGAAGUGAGGACAAUCAUGCUGGGGAAGCGAUGGACCUUUCUCCCUGGGAAAUGCCCAGGCUGGCUAAUUUGAGACAGAAGAAGGUGCAUUGGCCCCCAGCUCAACCCUGGCUCUGCAACUCUCAGAGGUUGGGUCACGACCCACACCUCUGCCUUAUACACACCUUAUAAGACAGAUAAUGUAUGUUCUCCUUGUGAAGGUCAAGGAGUUAAUUAUUUCUUUGGAGUCUUCUAGCACAACAGAUAACAUCUAAGGAGUGAAACUGUGCCCCAAGGGGAGUCGUCAUGAAUGUUUUCCAAGACCACUGACUCAUCAAGACCCCUGGCUUCAGGGCAUAAGCGACUUAUGGGGAACCUUUAAACACUCCUCUGUGUUCUGGAUGCCUGAGAAGACACAUGCAUGGAACCACCUCAAUAAAACCCUA
Long non-coding RNA from Callorhinus ursinus (northern fur seal), 696 nucleotides. RefSeq lists it as uncharacterized. The record is from RefSeq and is a predicted model, not a curated record. NCBI's taxonomy places the organism in Eukaryota, Metazoa, Chordata, Mammalia, Carnivora, Otariidae.